This 467-nucleotide ribosomal RNA is filed under the name uncultured bacterium. Its description in RNAcentral is "partial 16S ribosomal RNA". It matches the Rfam family "Bacterial small subunit ribosomal RNA", at positions 28 to 506 of the family's 1533-position model. The record is from RNAcentral.
GACGAACGCUGGCGGCGUGCUUAACACAUGCAAGUCGAACGGAAAGGCCCUGCUUGCAGGGUGCUCGAGUGGCGAACGGGUGAGUAACACGUGGGUGAUCUGCCCCUUACUUUGGGAUAAGCCUGGGAAACUGGGUCUAAUACUGGAUAGGACCAUGCUGUAGGUGGUGUGGUGGAAAGAUUAGUUUCGGUAAGGGAUGAGCUCGCGGCCUAUCAGCUUGUUGGUGGGGUAAUGGCCUACCAAGGCGUCGACGGGUAGCCGGCCUGAGAGGGUGGACGGCCACAUUGGGACUGAGAUACGGCCCAGACUCCUACGGGAGGCAGCAGUGGGGAAUAUUGCACAAUGGGCGCAAGCCUGAUGCAGCGACGCCGCGUGGGGGAUGACGGCCUUCGGGUUGGAAACUCCUUUCAGCCAUGACGAAGCCUUCGGGUGACGGUAGUGGUAGAAGAAGCACCGGCGAACUACGU